RNAcentral lists this RNase P RNA (391 nucleotides) under Rhodospirillales bacterium. Its description in RNAcentral is "RNase P RNA component class A". It matches the Rfam family "Bacterial RNase P class A". From Rfam's summary of the family: Ribonuclease P (RNase P) is a ubiquitous endoribonuclease, found in archaea, bacteria and eukarya as well as chloroplasts and mitochondria. Its best characterised activity is the generation of mature 5'-ends of tRNAs by cleaving the 5'-leader elements of precursor-tRNAs. The record is from RNAcentral. Lineage: Bacteria; Pseudomonadati; Pseudomonadota; Alphaproteobacteria; Rhodospirillales.
CCAGACGGUUGGAUGACCGCUAUAUUUAACCAUAUAAAUAUAGAGGAAAGUCCGGGCUCCACGGAAGCACGGUGCCGGGUAACUCCCGGCGGGGGCAACCCCAGGGAAAGUGCCACAGAAAGAAAACCGCCUCAUUUAUGAGGUAAGGGUGAAAGGGUGCGGUAAGAGCGCACCGCGCAGGCGGUAACGUCGGCGGCAAGGUAAACCCCACCGGGAGCAAGACCAAAUAGGGAUGACAUGCUUAUCAAUUUAUUGACGAGCAGGCAUGUUUUCGUGCUGUUAUCCGGGUCGGUCGCAAGAGGCGUGCAGCGAUGGGCGUCCCAGAUGAAUGGUCAUCACCUGCCAGCUUGCUGGCAGCGUACAGAACCCGGCUUAUAGACCGUCUGGCACC